GGUGCGCGAGAGGUGGCACGGUCGACACGUGACCAGACUACACCAAUAGGGUAGCAGCUUUUGGUAAACAGAAAAGCAAGAUGGCUGCCUAAAGAGUUUCAUCUAGCAGUACUGAAGAAGAGGAAAACUCAAACAAAAAUGUGUAAACAAACGAAAUCUUCUGGACAUAAACAGUGCUAUAUGCACAUAGCCUCUGCGAAGCACAAAAAAAUUCAGGAUUUCACUCUCGCACGGUGGAAUAUGUACAAGAAGAGUCUACAACGGUGGCUCGGGUUGAGUUUCGAUACGUAGUUGAAAACUACAAACACUGCCUGGAUUUGGAGUUUGAAAGCAUUCCUGAGAACGCUGCUUUUCAUCCCACAUGCUACCGGAGGUUUAUUGACAAGAGUGCAAUUGCAAAAGUUAAAAGGGGCCUUGGACGUAAGAGAAAGAGGGGAGAGGAUACAGAAAACCGCUCAAGAAGUGAAACCAUCCCAUCAACAUCGAGCAGGACGACACCGAGUCUUACAAAGAAACUAAGAUCCAGGUCAGGCCUGCCCAUCGUGAGCUCUGGCCUCGUCCUUCCAGCCCUGUGCAUAAUAUGGAAGAAAAAGGGAAGCAGACAAAGCAGGCAGAUGACAACAGGAAGCUCUGUCAAAAGCAGAAACAUUAACAGCAGGUAAGCAAAAACGCCCCCGCCCCCAUUAGAAUGCUAUGCUAUUAAAGGAUAGCAUAGCAUUCUAAUCCACAUGAAAGAAGAAGACUGUGUGGCUCUGGAGGUGCAGUACCACAAGAGCUUUCACCUACAGUACACCAGGUUUUUGAGUGAGCCUGCCAGACCAAAGAAAAAACAUUUUAGGGAUGAGACAACAUUUGAUAUCAGCUAUAAGAUGUUCUGUGAGAGGAUCACCCGUCAAAGGCUGCUUAUAAACCAGGAGGUGCUGAGAAUGGGCCAACUGAGGAAGACGUGAAGGUCUUGAUGCUUCAAACUACAGGGAUGGGCAACAGGACACACAUCAUUGACAUUACCAAGGUGUCAUCAGCUCUCGCAACCAGUGUGUUCAGCCUUGAACCUUGAGCCACAAGUCCCUUUUAUGGUAAAGGCAAAAGAAAGACAUUUUUUGUAGCAUGUCAGCGGGAAGAGUACCUCAAGGCUUUUAAAAAUCUGGGUGCUAACUUUAACUUGGACCACUCAACAUUUGCACUACUUUGCAAAUAUGUAUGCCACCUGUAUGAUCAGC
Long non-coding RNA from Cynoglossus semilaevis (tongue sole), 1220 nucleotides. RefSeq lists it as uncharacterized. The transcript is spliced from 3 exons. NCBI's taxonomy places the organism in Eukaryota, Metazoa, Chordata, Actinopteri, Pleuronectiformes, Cynoglossidae. The record is from RefSeq and is a predicted model, not a curated record.